AUGGCUGAGCCAACAGGCCUUGCUGAGGCUUUCGAGAAGCUUGCUAAGAUCUUCGAGGAGUCGAAAUCUGGGGCCAUCGUUCCUCGACAGGAAGUGGCUCAGAAGAUCGAACUGUCGCCCAUGGACAUGAAGUUAGAGGGGGCUACCAAUUAUCUGAGCUGGUCCCGGAGGGCGUUGCUGGCUGUGGAACAGAAGGAGCUUGAUGGGCACUUGUUGGGUGUUGUUGCUGAACCAGGAGACAAGACUACUGUGGAGGGAAAAAGAUGGAAGGUCAUAAACUCUGUGCUCAUUGGCUGGUUGUUGAACUCGGUGGUGCCCCCCAUUGGACGCUCUGUGGAGGGGCUCGAUAUGGACGACUCUGUCCACCUUGUACUCAGGUAA
RNAcentral lists this ribosomal RNA (381 nucleotides) under Triticum aestivum (bread wheat). RNAcentral's name for it is "partial small subunit ribosomal RNA". Lineage: Eukaryota; Viridiplantae; Streptophyta; Magnoliopsida; Poales; Poaceae. The record is from RNAcentral.